This 492-nucleotide long non-coding RNA is filed under the name Ananas comosus (pineapple). RNAcentral describes it as "long non-coding RNA (ACOM_LNC038132)". Lineage: Eukaryota; Viridiplantae; Streptophyta; Magnoliopsida; Poales; Bromeliaceae. The record is from RNAcentral.
GGCCUAACUGGAUUUUGUUACCUUAGAGGCUAUAGGCAGCCUCUCCUCCCCUCUCACUCUCAUUUUCUCUCCCUCACACUCUUCCUACACUUCUAGAGAGAGAAAGGGAAGGAGAAGAAGGAGAAGAAGAGGAGAAGGAGCUUGCUUGGAGGCCUUGGAGCACCAUCUUCUUCCUCAUUUCUCACCUUUGGAGGCUUGGAGCUUGCUUUUGGAGCUUUGUGGUGGAUCAAUCUUCAACCCUUGAAGAUUUUGAGCUUGGUUUGGAGCAUCCUAGAGGUAAGUGGCAAGGUUCCUUCCUCUAGAUUUUAGUUUUGGAGCUUUUUGCUUGUCUAAACCCUAGAUUUUGGAUUUUAGGGUUAGAUUUGGGGAUUCUUGAUUUGAGGCUUCUUGAUCUCAUUUGAAUGGUUUGGAACCUUUAUAUAGGUUAGAUUGGAAGACCCCUACCUUCCAUUUGAAGAUUAAGAGAGAGUUUUUCACUUGAGGUGAGUUUUU